Molecule: ribosomal RNA, 253 nt
Filed under: uncultured bacterium
Lineage: Bacteria
Description: partial 16S ribosomal RNA
Rfam family: Bacterial small subunit ribosomal RNA
Source: RNAcentral
UACGGGGGGGGCAAGCGUUGUUCGGAAUUACUGGGCGUAAAGGGCUCGUAGGCGGCCAACUAAGUCAGACGUGAAAUCCCUCGGCUUAACCGGGGAACUGCAUCUGAUACUGGAUGGCUUGAGAUUGGGAGAGGGAUGCGGAAUUCCAGGUGUAGCGGUGAAAUGCGUAGAUAUCUGGAGGAACACCGGUGGCGAAGGCGGCAUCCUGGACUGGUCCUGACACUCAGGAGCGAAAGCGUGGGGAGCGAUCCGG